Molecule: long non-coding RNA, 755 nt
Filed under: Lupinus angustifolius (narrow-leaved blue lupine)
Lineage: Eukaryota; Viridiplantae; Streptophyta; Magnoliopsida; Fabales; Fabaceae
Description: long non-coding RNA (LANG_LNC000982)
Source: RNAcentral
CGAGGUUAAGAGAAAGAAUCAGUAAUAUUGUAGGACUAACCAAUUACUAUAUUUAAACCCACAACCAGAUACAGAUUCUGUUGCACCAAUCAGCUUAAAAGCACAACACAGCACUAAAGAAGAGAAGAGAAGAGAAGUGAUGGUGAUACAUAGAAUAGAAUUAUGCAUAACUAUGGUCAGAAAAGCCGUUAAGUUUGUUAUUGCCGUGGCAGAAUUUAUAAUCACUUUUGAUGAAGAAAGAAUCCCAGAACCCCUUAACAGUACUAUUAACCAGACAAAUUUAUCCCUCCGUUUUUCUGGUUUAUUGUGUUAGAAUAUUCAUCUCUCAUUUCAUUAUUCAUUUUCUGUGCUAGAUCAUAUUUCUUUCUCUUUUGCUACAUCAAAUUCUGGUUUAUACAACACUAUACUAUGUAAAGAAAAAUAGAGGCUAGAAGCUAAAUAUUGUCCAUGUUCAUCGAAUUUUGAGAAACUUCUAUCUUUUGCUCAGAUAGCUAUGUUCAAUAAUGAAUCUAAGUUGCAGUUUUAGUUAAUUAUAACGAAUAAGGUAAGUAUGUGAUUUUACUGUUUUCUUUCUGUUUUUCUUAAAUUAACCCUUAAACAAGAUGUCAAUUUUUUUUAUUUUUCAUCAUCUUUUUCUUCUACCUUUUAUUUUAGUUACCGUUACAAAGUCUUCAAGUUUUUGUACAUCAUCAAGUAUGGUUCCAACACGUUGAAGAUACAAUCGUAAACACUGUUUUAUCUCCGUUCUUUACGAA